UACGUGCGCGCGUGAACCACACGCGAUCAAACUAAAUAAUUUUACAAACUCGUUGACACGUCCCUUGAUAAAGCUCAACGAGCUUGAUAGAGCGAAGUGAAGGUGGUGUUUUUCAGCAGGGAGAAGAGAUUACGCCAUUCCGAUAACUUCACUGUGCCAAGGUUACUAUCUCGAAGCGCGUGCUGCACCGCAGCAUGGGAAUGCUGAUGACUUCACCGGGUCCGCCGCGGGAUUAACCUUCAUUUACGAGCCACCGCGAAAUACGUACGGUUUCCACGACUUUCCUGUCAAUCCGACCUGCCUAACCUGAUCCUCGCGUCUUGACUGGGCAGAAGAAUGAAUACUAGGCUUAUUAUGCGCAACUACACUUGCGCAGGACUCUAUCGGCUGCGCUAACUUAUGGCGGGAAGAUUUCAAUCCCGGCAAAGUGAAGUUUAACCUAUUUCCUAAUUUACGCAGUAAACUGUUCUAUAAAAGUGCAAGAUGUAUCUAAUGUUACGUGAUAAUUGACAAAAGAUUCUAACAGACGCGAUAAUUUACGUUAAAACGAUUUCGAUUUGAAUAAAACGAAACGUAGUUUUUUUU
Molecule: long non-coding RNA, 585 nt
Organism: Frieseomelitta varia
Lineage: Eukaryota; Metazoa; Arthropoda; Insecta; Hymenoptera; Apidae
Exons: 3
Source: RefSeq, a predicted model, not a curated record